CCUACGGGUGGCUGCAGUGGGGAAUAUUGCACAAUGGGGGGAACCCUGAUGCAGCAACACCGCGUGGGUGAAGAAGUACUCCGGUAUGUAAAGCCCUGUCAGCAGGGAAGAAAAUGACGGUACCUGACCAAGAAGCCCCGGCUAACUACGUGCCAGCAGCCGCGGUAAUACGUAGGAUGCGAGCGUUAUCCGGAUUUAUUGGGUUUAAAGGGUGCGUAGGCGGAUUUUUAAGUCAGCGGUAAAAUGUCCGGGCUCAACCCGGGCCGGCCGUUUAAACUGGGGAUCUUGAGUGGGCGAGAAGUAUGCGGAAUGCGUGGUGUAGCGGUGAAAUGCAUAGAUAUCACGCAGAACUCCGAUUGCGAAGGCAGCAUACCGGCGCCCGACUGACGCUGAGGCACGAAAGCGUGGGGAUCGAACAGGAUUAGAUACCCGAGUAGUC
This 439-nucleotide ribosomal RNA is filed under the name uncultured bacterium. Its description in RNAcentral is "partial 16S ribosomal RNA". It matches the Rfam family "Bacterial small subunit ribosomal RNA", at positions 338 to 795 of the family's 1533-position model. The record is from RNAcentral.